AAGGUUCUGCCUCCAUUGGAUAUGGGACGAGCUCACUCGGCAACCCUUGUGGAUUCUCCUUCUUCUAGAGGGGAAUUAUAGUUAUGGAUUUAUUGUCCCGCUGCAGCACUUCCACCACCACCAGCAGCAGCACCAGCAGCAACAGCAGCUUUCUGACUCUCUUCGGUGACGGGUAUUCUUGGGUGGAUAAUACGGAUUACGUUGUUAUUGCUUAAGAAUACGCGUAGUCGAGGAGAGUACCGGCGGCGGGCAGGCAGGCAGGCAGGCAGCGCGACCGCCCCCAGCCCACCAGCUGGCUCCCAACCUCCUCUAGUUGCCAAGCCGUACAGCUUAAGUCUCCUGGACUAGCCCGUCUCCCUUCCUCGCCAUGUCAAACGACCCACGGAAGGCUGUAGAUCUUCAGGCUCUGGGGACGACCUAACAUCAGCAGCUUCUGGGGGUGCUGCUACAAGGUGAGCCUCGGACCUCGCCGGCGGUCUGUGCUCCCGGACGUCGGCCCCGCGAUGGCAGACGGAGCGAUGCCCGGAGCCCCGCUUCCCCCGGCCGCUGCACUGGGCGUUGGCCGCGGCCGGAGCCGCCCGCGCACCGCGGGACACCCAGACACCGGACCCAGCUCGGCUUGCUGGUGGAGACGCUGCUGGGGCCGGCUUCGCCCUGCUUGUGGCUGCCUGCCUGUCUUAUUCUUCUGAGUUAUGCCCCAGCCCGCUCCUGUCCUGUCGUGCUGUCGCCUCCGGGCUGCGUCGGGUUUUCAAUUAUCACAAUAUACAGUGCAGAUGCUAUGUAAAACAGCUAGCGUGACUCGAGCAGGCUGAGCUCAGUAGAAAUACGGUUAAAUAAAAAGGACUGCUAUAAUACCAGGAGGCUGAUUGGAACCACAAGAUAGCAGUGUCAUAUCCUGUGGCUUUUAUGUUGGUAGAUGUAGAUUUUAGCCAUUAGAGUCUAGCCAUCCAACAGAUAACAACCAGAGGAAAUGGAUCUGGGGAUCUUCAAUUGUGAAUAACUGAUACACUUUUGCCAAUAAAUGGAGGACCUGGUAAACUGCCAGAAGAAAAAAAAAAACCUUUUGAGAUGCCUACAAAUAUAAUCAGGCACGUAAUAUGUGGCAGCUUCUGCCCAUGUGUAACUUAAACUCCCUGAUUACUCCCAAUACAUUUAAAAUGGUACCUCGAGAGAGCUCUGACCUCAGGGAACCAACGCGUGGUUACGUUGUCAACCCCAAAUUCAGGCAAGGAAAUAAAUACCAAGUGUAGGUCUCAACUCACACAAACAGUAACAAACCCGAGAUCAGGUAUCGUGCUAUUCAAGUGGGGGGGGGGGGGGGGAGGUAAAAUGCUACGACAAAAAAAGGGAGAAAUAAGAAUAAAACACGAUAAUGUAAAACGUGCCUGUUAUUAACUUCUAGAAAAGCUCAGCAGCCAGAAUUUUAGAAUGUGACAUGCAGACAAAUGUAAAGAGAGCAACACGUUGUGUUUUUCUCCAGAGCAAAAUGAAAUAGGCAUAUGGAGCAAAUUAUAAUAUUUAGUUCUUUCAGGGCAAAUUCUAGUUGAGGAUCAUGAAGUAAUUUGAAAAUAUUAAUGAAUUAGCCUCACAGCUAGCUGUCAGGUAGAUACUAAUGAUAAUUAUUACUAUAAAUAAAUCUUAUAAUUCUUGCUGCAAAGAAAUGAAAGAUGAGGCAUAGAGGCUUCACGUAUGUCUCCAAAGUCUCUGUUUUACUACUGUAACCAUCCUUCUAUAGAACUAUUAUAUAGCAAGUUUAUCCUUUUCCAAAUGCUGUAUGUGAUAUACUAUUCAGUUUAUGAGCUCUAAAAACCAACCAGCUGAGCUUCCUUAUGAAACAGAGCCUGUGAACAUCUCCAUUUGCAUUUGAAUUCUCAAGCAGCGACAAUCCUGCUGAAAAAAAAAUAUAAAGGAAAAAGGAAUCAUGAAAAUCAGUAGAAAAUCUGUCAAGGCCCCAUCUGUGACUGGGUAUCAGAAUAUCGCUAAGAAGCUCUGAGGAACAAAGUUCAUUCCAAGUCUAACGCAUAGUGCUUUUUGGUCGAUGAAAUUAAUUCAAGCAGGGUGAAAUGAGGGCACACACCAUGAAAAGCUCCGUUCCUCCACUGAGGAGGGAAGGCAAGCAGCACCUCCGCUGCCUGCGUGUGAUCUUGGGUUUGGAACAUGUGGCCAUGCUUAAAUACUAAAGGUUUUACAUGGCAAAAUAUUCAGUGUGCUCACGUCUCCUUUUGAUAGCCGCGUAUACCUGCUGCUUCUCUGAGGAGGGUCAGGGAAUGAGGGAUCUCUGGUUCUGACAAGGACUUCGAUUGUGUGUGCUCGUUGCAGGAAGCAAGCUUUCACAGCCAGCUACCUGAAGCAGUAUGGAAACAAAAUGAUAGAUUCCACCCUGGCCUUGAAAAUACCCCUACAAACAGGUUUACUUCCUUCUGAAUGGGAAUAUAUAAAGGUUAGGGACACUUAUUUUUAGGACAUUUAUAUAACUCCUCUUCAGGAUCUGAAUUCCUAAGAGUCUUGGCCUUAGCUUUUUGCUCUCACACAUGCAAUAAUUGGAAUUAACCACAGGAAAUAGGAGAACCACAGCAUUAACACCAUUCUAACGCACCAUAUUAUUUUUCUUUCCCUUUUUUUAACUGUUAGAGUAUGCAAAUGUUGAGUUAACUGGUCCCCAUGUUGUUAUUGAAUUGCUUUCACUAUGGCAAAUAAAUAUUCAUAAAGAAA
Molecule: non-coding RNA, 2712 nt
Organism: Phalacrocorax carbo (great cormorant)
Lineage: Eukaryota; Metazoa; Chordata; Aves; Suliformes; Phalacrocoracidae
Source: RefSeq, a predicted model, not a curated record